AGCGGGGUGGGCUAGCCUGGUUUAUGCCGCAGGGCUCAUAUCUCAAAGAAGAGUGGAAGAACAUAAAAACCUGCUCCCAAGAAUGAGAAACCCUGAUAUCGUUCGUUCAAAUCGAACCCCCGCUACCA
Molecule: transfer RNA, 128 nt
Filed under: marine sediment metagenome
Description: tRNA-Met
Source: RNAcentral